Non-coding RNA from Salmo salar (Atlantic salmon), 416 nucleotides. NCBI's taxonomy places the organism in Eukaryota, Metazoa, Chordata, Actinopteri, Salmoniformes, Salmonidae. The record is from RefSeq and is a predicted model, not a curated record.
UUUAGAUGUUGAAACACAAAUAACGCAACUUAUCCAGUAGAGGCCUGUCAACCCAAGACAAAGCCAAGAGGGAGUUAGGUUCAACAGCCCAGAGGGAGUUAGGUUCAACAGCCCAGAGAGAGUUAGGUUCAACAGCCCAGAGGGAGUUAGGUUCAACAGCCCAGAGGGAGUUAGGUUCAACAGCAUGUCAACCCAAGACAAAGCCAAGAGGGAGUUAGGUUCAACAGCCCAGAGAGAGUUAGUUUCAACAGCCCAGAGGGAGUUAGGUUCAACAGCCCAGAGGGAGUUAGGUUCAACAGCCCAGAGGGAGUUAGGUUCAACAGCCCAGAGAGAGUUAGGUUCAACAGCCCAGAGGGAGUUAGGUUCAACAGCCCAGAGGGAGUUAGGUUCAACAGCCCAGAGGGAGUUAGGUUCAA